CGGGGUGCACCAGGCGCGAAACCUUUUCAAUGCACGCAAGUGUGAGAAGGGAAUUCCAAGUGCUCAAGUUUUACUUGGGCUUUUGCCAAGUGUAAAAAGCUUGGCGAAUAAGGGGUGGGUAAGACUGGUGCCAGCCGCCGCGGUAACACCAGCGCCUCGAGUGGGGAUCGCGAUUAUUGGGUCUAAAGCGUCCGUAGCAGGCUUUGUAAAUACUUUGUGAAAUCGGCAGGCAUAACCUGUCGGCGUGCAGAGUAGACUGCAGAGCUUGAGACCGGGAGAUGUCAGAAGUAUUCCUAGGGUACCGGUAAAAUGGGUUAAUCCUGGGAGGACUACCGAUGGCGAAGGCAUCUGACAAGAACGGUUCUGACUGUGAGGGACGAAAGCUAGGGGAGCAAAACGGAUUAGAUACCCGAGUAGUCCUAGCCGUAAACGCUGCGAGCAAGGUAUUGCGCCUCCCACGAGGAUGCGCAGUGUCGAAACGAAGGUGUUAAGCUCGCCACCAGGGAAGUACGGUCGCAAGGCUGAAACUUUAAGGAAUUGGCGGGGGAGCACAAGGGCAAUUGCG
This 565-nucleotide ribosomal RNA is filed under the name uncultured archaeon. RNAcentral describes it as "bacterial SSU rRNA". It matches the Rfam family "Archaeal small subunit ribosomal RNA", at positions 326 to 892 of the family's 1478-position model. The record is from RNAcentral.